Long non-coding RNA from Spea bombifrons (plains spadefoot toad), 751 nucleotides. RefSeq lists it as uncharacterized. Lineage: Eukaryota; Metazoa; Chordata; Amphibia; Anura; Pelobatidae. The record is from RefSeq and is a predicted model, not a curated record. The transcript is spliced from 2 exons.
UUCAUUAACCCCUUAACGACAAUUGCCGGUCCUGGCACGACACGGAAAAGCAUGUGCUUUACGACAAUUGACGUGCCAGGACCGGCACCAACGCCGCGAUCGGAACGAAGGGGCCAUCUCUGGCCCCUCCACGGGGCGUCAACAUCCGCCAUACUUUGUAUGGCGGCGGACGCCCGUUUUAAAAGCGUUUAGGAGGCGAUCGACGAUCGCCUCCUAAACUUAAAUGGUGUCGCUGGAAUGCCUCGAUCAGGAGGCAUCCAGCGACACCAAACACUUACCUUUCGAUGGGCUGUGACCGCUCCGGAGAGCGGUCACAGCCGCAGCUGCCGAUGAUCUUCGCCAUCAAGCAAGAUGGCCGCUGCCCUGUAACAGGAACCAACAAAUUUUAAAAGCUCGCUAGAUGGUCCAGACCAUCUAGAGAACUUUGGCUCCACUUGCAGGUUGAAUACAGGUACUGCAUUCACCAUGCAAGUCAAUGGAGCCCAGCUUUCUAAUCACAGUGUGAUUAGUAAAAAUAAAUUAAAAAAUAAAAUAAAAUUAAUAAUAAUUAGAAAAAAAUAGUAAAAAACUAGUAAAAUGUAAAAAUCAUUUCCCACUGAUGUCACUAUCAAGGGAACCUCCAAGUUGAAAAAAAAUGUUAAAAAAAAUUUAAAAAAAGGCAAAAAAAAAUAAAAUAUAUAUAUAAAAAAUAUAUUUUUGUGAGCAAGUCCUAAAAUUAGCAUAUUAGCUUAAAACAAUUCUCGCAUGGAAA